This 426-nucleotide ribosomal RNA is filed under the name uncultured bacterium. RNAcentral describes it as "bacterial SSU rRNA". It matches the Rfam family "Bacterial small subunit ribosomal RNA", at positions 354 to 796 of the family's 1533-position model. The record is from RNAcentral.
GCAGGGAAUCUUGCGCAAUGGGCGAAAGCCUGACGCAGCAACGCCGCGUGGGGGAUGAAGGCCUUCGGGUUGUAAACCCCUUUCAGGAGGGAAGAAAUUGACGGUACCUCCAGAAGAAGGACCGGCCAACUACGUGCCAGCAGCCGCGGUAAGACGGAGGGUGCUAGCGUUGUUCGGAAUCACUGGGCGUAAAGGGCGCGUAGGCGGCCCAUGCCGUCGGCUCGUGAAAGCCCGGGGCUCAACCCCGGAGGUGCGGCCGAGACCCAUGGGCUGGAGGCCGGAAGAGGAGGGUGGAAUACCCAGUGUAGAGGUGAAAUUCGUAGAUAUUGGGUGGAACACCGGUGGCGAAAGCGGCUCUCUGGUCCGGUUCUGACGCUGAGGCACGAAAGCGUGGGGAGCAAACAGGAUUAGAAACCCUAGUAGUCC